UUUUUUUUUUUUUUUUGCAGGAUCAACCUCGAUUCCUCUUUUACAAUGGACCCCAAUCAUCUUACCGGACCGCACUCUGAUAGUGCACUUAUCUGAAUCCAAAUUUUUUUUUUUUUUUUUUGCAGGAUCAACCUCGAUUCCUCUUUUACAAUGGACCCCAAUCAUCUUACCGGACCGCACUCUGAUAGUGCACUUAUCUGAAUCCAAACCUCCAUUCGAA
RNAcentral lists this long non-coding RNA (220 nucleotides) under Lathyrus oleraceus (garden pea). Its description in RNAcentral is "Pisum sativum (pea) long non-coding RNA (PSAT_LNC018971)". The record is from RNAcentral. Lineage: Eukaryota; Viridiplantae; Streptophyta; Magnoliopsida; Fabales; Fabaceae.